This 399-nucleotide long non-coding RNA is filed under the name Nicotiana benthamiana. RNAcentral's name for it is "long non-coding RNA (NBEN_LNC006087)". The record is from RNAcentral. Lineage: Eukaryota; Viridiplantae; Streptophyta; Magnoliopsida; Solanales; Solanaceae.
GCCUACCACAAGAUUUAAUAAAAUGGGAGCGGGUGGUACGCCUACAAGAAGAUGCAUGAAAUUGGAGUGGGUGGUACACCUACCACGAGAUAAAUAAAAUAGGAGCGGAUGACACGCCUGUCAUAUGAUAUGAGAAAUAGGAUCGGGCUGCACGCCUGCAACAAGAUGUGAACUGAAAGUGAAAUCUGCCUUUAUUUCCCUUAUCCUUGUUAGUAGUUGGAUUUUAGUUCUCUAUAAUUCUCUGGAUACUCUGUUUUUACCUGUUAUUCCCCGAAACAUGUUUCCCUUUCCCACCUUUAUUUGUUUAUUCUGCUUUACUUUUCGCUAUAAAUUAUAUAACUGCACAUGUUUACUUGGUAGUCUGGUCCUAGCCUCGUUAUCACUUCGCCGAGGUUAGGC